RNAcentral lists this unclassified non-coding RNA (343 nucleotides) under Hevea brasiliensis (rubber tree). The record is from RNAcentral. Lineage: Eukaryota; Viridiplantae; Streptophyta; Magnoliopsida; Malpighiales; Euphorbiaceae.
AUUUGAAGUCAAUAGAUGUUGGUGGGAUUUCUCUUCAACUUCCAACCAGUCUGUUUGCAAAUGGAGCGAGUACAGGGACAAUAAUCGACAGUGGCACAACCUUGGCAUAUCUCCCAGAACCAGCCUAUAAUCAAUUAAUGGAUGCGAUUUUGUCCUCCCAACCAAGUCUCAGAGUGGCUCGCACUGGGCAGUUCUCAUGUUUCCGAUAUUCUGAGAGUGUUGAUGAUGGAUUUCCUUCUGUCACCUUCCAUUUUGAGAAUGCACUUUUAUUAUCGGUGUAUCCCCACGACUAUCUUUUCCAACUCGCGGACAAUCUUUGGUGUGUUGGCUGGCAGGCUUCUGG